UGGGGAAUAUUGGGCAAUGGGCGCAAGCCUGACCCAGCAACGCCGCGUGAAGGAAGAAGGCUUUCGGGUUGUAAACUUCUUUUGUCAGGGAAGAUGAAGAGACGGUACCUGACGAAUAAGCCACGGCUAACUACGUGCCAGCAGCCGCGGUAAUACGUAGGUGGCAAGCGUUGUCCGGAUUUACUGGGUGUAAAGGGCGUGUAGGCGGGAGAGCAAGUCAGGCGUGAAAACUAUGGGCUUAACCCAUAGCCUGCGUUUGAAACUGUUUUUUCUUGAGUACUGGAGAGGUUGACGGAAUUCCUUGUGUAGCGGUGAAAUGCGUAGAUAUAAGGAGGAACACCAGUGGCGAAGGCGGUCAACUGGACAGCAACUGACGCUGAGGCGCGAAAGCGUGGGGAGGCAAACAGGAUUAGAUACCC
RNAcentral lists this ribosomal RNA (419 nucleotides) under uncultured bacterium. Its description in RNAcentral is "bacterial SSU rRNA". It matches the Rfam family "Bacterial small subunit ribosomal RNA", at positions 355 to 787 of the family's 1533-position model. The record is from RNAcentral.